Molecule: ribosomal RNA, 385 nt
Filed under: uncultured bacterium
Lineage: Bacteria
Description: bacterial SSU rRNA
Rfam family: Bacterial small subunit ribosomal RNA
Source: RNAcentral
AUUGAACGCUGGCGGCAUGCCUUACACAUGCAAGUCGAACGGCAGCGCGGGGCAACCUGGCGGCGAGUGGCGAACGGGUGAGUAAUAUAUCGGAACAUACCCUAGAGUGGGGAUAACGUAGCGAAAGUUACGCUAAUACCGCAUACGCACUAAGGUGGAAAGUGGGGGAUCUUCGGACCUCAUGCUCAUGGAGUGGCCGAUAUCUGAUUAGCUAGUUGGUGAGGUAAAGGCUCACCAAGGCGACGAUCAGUAGCUGGUUUGAGAGAACGACCAGCCACACUGGAACUGAGACACGGUCCAGACUCCUACGGGAGGCAGCAGUGGGGAAUUUUGGACAAUGGGGGGCAACCCUGAUCCAGCAAUGCCGCGUGAGUGAAGAAGGCCU